GACGAACGCUGGCGGCGUGCCUAAUACAUGCAAGUCGAACGCUUCUUUCCUCCCGAGUGCUUGCACUCCAUUGGAAAGAGGAGUGGCGGACGGGUGAGUAACACGUGGGUAACCUACCCAUCAGAGGGGGAUAACACUUGGAAACAGGUGCUAAUACCGCAUAACAGUUUAUGCCGCAUGGCAUAAGAGUGAAAGGCGCUUUCGGGUGUCGUUGAUGGAUGGACCCGCGGUGCAUUAGCUAGUUGGUGAGGUAACGGCUCACCAAGGCCACGAUGCAUAGCCGACCUGAGAGGGUGAUCGGCCAUACUGGGACUGAGACACGGCCCAGACUCCUACGGGAGGCAGCAGUAGGGAAUCUUCGGCAAUGGACGAAAGUCUGACCGAGCAACGCCGCGUGAGUGAAGAAGGUUUUCGGAUCGUAAAACUCUGUUGUUAGAGAAGAACAAGGACGUUAGUAACUGAACGUCCCCUGACGGUAUCUAACCAGAAAGCCACGGCUAACUACGUG
This 508-nucleotide ribosomal RNA is filed under the name uncultured bacterium. RNAcentral's name for it is "partial 16S ribosomal RNA". It matches the Rfam family "Bacterial small subunit ribosomal RNA", at positions 28 to 507 of the family's 1533-position model. The record is from RNAcentral.